This 2563-nucleotide long non-coding RNA is filed under the name Bemisia tabaci. Its description in RNAcentral is "lncRNA ENSSSA1UGG011368". The record is from RNAcentral. Lineage: Eukaryota; Metazoa; Arthropoda; Insecta; Hemiptera; Aleyrodidae.
AAUACAAGCCAUAAUAACCAAACCUUAGUUUUUCUCUAAGUUAUAGUCUGAUUUUUCUUCUGUGCAUUUGCUCAUCAUUAAAUAAUCUGUACUUUAAUCAUGGACCUUCACUAAUUCUAUCAAUUUCUUUUCGACAGAUUCAUAACAUGGCAACAUUUUGUGUCGGCAUUUUUCCAUGUGACAACACUGUUGAUAUCGUUCGGGAGUCUUGGCUUUGUGGACUCAAUAAUGACUUAGAGGAAUUGUGCAAAUUCCCCCCUGUAAAAGGGGAUAGGAAGAAACUCCAAAAUCUGCUGCUCCAGCAGGAGGAACCUCAUCCAUCGUGGCAAGAAUAUGUGAUAGUUGCCAAGCGAACUGGUAUCGAGUCAUACUCAGAGGCAGUCCGCUUACUAAAAAUAAUACAAGAGGACGAAGAUGGAGUUACUACAGACCCCGAGCAACUCGGCCGUGGUUGUCGGAGCCCCAAACGGAAGCGAAUUCUCUCAUCAUCGGAAGAAGAUAAUUCACAGGUCAAAAAAGCUAAAUUGAAAAUAGGCGGAGGAAGAAAAAAGUCAAGGGAAGUGCGCAGUAACGCGCAAAACCUAUGUACAUCAAGUUUACAGGAUUUUAAAAUCCCUCAUUGUAAAUCUUUUAGAAUUCCAUCGCCAACUUUAAGCUCAAGUAUUAAACAAAGUAAUUCCAAAGCUGGAAACCCAACAUAUGCCACAUCAACCCAAAAACCAUUUUUGUCACCUCUGAUGGACAUCAGCAACAUUUACCCAACCCUAAAUCUUACUGAUCAAGCAGAAAAAAACAAAGAAACUGGUCCUCUGAAAAACAGUGUGCCUCAAAAUCGACUUAAUCCAAGGCCUUUGCCGGUCAGAAGCAUCAAAGAAAGUCAUUCUUCGAAGAACACUGCUCCUCAGAAUCAAAAGCCCACAAAUCAAAGGCCUGCAGUGGCAAAAAUCGAUGGCAAUCAAUCUCGGCCAAAAAAUGUUCCUCAAAAUGGAAAUUCUGUGAACAAACGGCCCACGGUAGGAAAAAUUGUUUCUCAGAAUCGAAAUCUUAUUAACCAACGGCCCACAACAGGAAACGUCACAGUUGGAAAUCGAUCUCGGAUAAACAGUAUUCCUCAGAAUAGAAAUCCUCCGAAUCAACGACCAGCAGCAGCAAACAUUAAUAAAAAUGGACCUGCGAUAAAGAAUGUUUCUCAGGUUCUCCGAGAUAUCAGAAAUAAUCUAAAUCGUCAACCUGCGGCAGGAAACAUCAACAGAAAUACAUCUCGGACUAAUACUGUUCCUAACCAGCACACUGAUGUUCCAAUAAUGUUGCUUCGUGUAGAAGGUAAACUAGACAAAGUUUUAGAAAAAAUCGACUUCGCAACUGGUGCUACACAACGUUGCAACAAGAAACUCACAGGUGUCAAGUUAGCUGUUGAUGAUAGUUGCGAAGUUCUGAAGGAUGUUCAACUGAAAAUGUCAAGUAUGGUGAUUACCGACACAUGUAACCAUAGUGAUGAAGUGAAACUGCGGUUUCCAGUAAAAUCAACCGAUGAACUUAAACUUCUAGAAGACGAUCUUUUUGAUCCUGAUCUACGCAAAAAAUGCAUUUCAUAUUUCAGCAAGAUGAAUACUAAGUCCCUUGGCGACUCAGUUCGAAAAAUAGCCAAGCAGAUUAUGACCGAUAAACUGGCAUUACAGUAUUCAUGGACUGGACGAAAAGAGGGCAAAUCUGCCUUAGCAGAUUACCCCACGUUCAUCACUGUUUUACAAGAGGCAGUCAGAUUCUCUCAUAAAGUGACAAACGAAGAUAUUAAUGUUCCUUUCAAAUUGUGGCUGGUAAAAGCAAAAGAGCGGUUAACUAAACCAAGGUAAGAAUUAAUGCAUUCAGACCCUCUUUCAGGGCGCCCAAAGUCAGAUUUCUCCACUUCCACUUUUUAUUUGCUUGAAACCUUAUGCUCCUAAAUUUCUCAAAUUCUAUGGAUGCCAUCUUUUUAAAUAUUCUGGGUGGAAUACUUCAAGAAUGAGCCGUCAGUUGGUUCUUUAACAGAUAAAUACAAUUGACCGAGUAUCUCAGAAGAACUGCUGAUCCCUCAGGUGGAGGGAUGUAGAGGCUAGGAGGCAGGGACCGAGCCUACUUGCGUGCUGCUGAACACCAAUUAAGCAUCCCUGAAUCCCUGUCUACACGGGGUACAUGCCGUUUUGGCCACUAACUUCAUCCGCUGCUUCUAACUGCUGAAGACUGUGGUCUUUUGCUGUUUGUUCCAAAACUAGGCAGGGACAGUAGUUGUCUAAAUUAGAUUUUCUCCCUGCACUGAAGCAUUAUAAAAAGUGUGUUCUCAUGUUCUAUUGACAGAUGAAGGUAUUUGAAACCUGGCUCUAAAAUCUGCUCUACAACUAGCAGUUUUUUAACUUUAGAUAGAAGUAUCAUGGUUUGUUGUGCCUUGAAAAGUCCUUGAACAUACUUGAUAUUUUUUUCGCAUUUUCAAGUCCUUGAAUUUAAUUCUGAGAUUUAGCCCCGUUGUACUGGAAAGUUCAUGAAUUUUACAUCAUCCUGUGACUUCCUGUCUUUUUGUAUCAUUUUG